RNAcentral lists this ribosomal RNA (601 nucleotides) under Bacillus sp. CH161b_5T. RNAcentral describes it as "bacterial SSU rRNA". It matches the Rfam family "Bacterial small subunit ribosomal RNA", at positions 50 to 632 of the family's 1533-position model. Lineage: Bacteria; Bacillati; Bacillota; Bacilli; Caryophanales; Bacillaceae. The record is from RNAcentral. RNAcentral also lists the same sequence under 1 other name.
UAUACAUGCAGUCGAGCGAAUGGAUUAAGAGCUUGCUCUUAUGAAGUUAGCGGCGGACGGGUGAGUAACACGUGGGUAACCUGCCCAUAAGACUGGGAUAACUCCGGGAAACCGGGGCUAAUACCGGAUAACAUUUUGAACCGCAUGGUUCGAAAUUGAAAGGCGGCUUCGGCUGUCACUUAUGGAUGGACCCGCGUCGCAUUAGCUAGUUGGUGAGGUAACGGCUCACCAAGGCAACGAUGCGUAGCCGACCUGAGAGGGUGAUCGGCCACACUGGGACUGAGACACGGCCCAGACUCCUACGGGAGGCAGCAGUAGGGAAUCUUCCGCAAUGGACGAAAGUCUGACGGAGCAACGCCGCGUGAGUGAUGAAGGCUUUCGGGUCGUAAAACUCUGUUGUUAGGGAAGAACAAGUGCUAGUUGAAUAAGCUGGCACCUUGACGGUACCUAACCAGAAAGCCACGGCUAACUACGUGCCAGCAGCCGCGGUAAUACGUAGGUGGCAAGCGUUAUCCGGAAUUAUUGGGCGUAAAGCGCGCGCAGGUGGUUUCUUAAGUCUGAUGUGAAAGCCCACGGCUCAACCGUGGAGGGUCAUUGGAAA